Molecule: ribosomal RNA, 269 nt
Filed under: Salmonella enterica
Lineage: Bacteria; Pseudomonadati; Pseudomonadota; Gammaproteobacteria; Enterobacterales; Enterobacteriaceae
Also listed under: 3 other names
Description: partial 16S ribosomal RNA
Rfam family: Bacterial small subunit ribosomal RNA
Source: RNAcentral
AAGCGGACCUCAUAAAGUGCGUCGUAGUCCGGAUUGGAGUCUGCAACUCGACUCCAUGAAGUCGGAAUCGCUAGUAAUCGUGGAUCAGAAUGCCACGGUGAAUACGUUCCCGGGCCUUGUACACACCGCCCGUCACACCAUGGGAGUGGGUUGCAAAAGAAGUAGGUAGCUUAACCUUCGGGGGGGCGCUUACCACUUUGUGAUUCAUGACUGGGGUGAAGUCGUAACAAGGUAACCGUAGGGGAACCUGCGGUUGGAUCACCUCCUUA